Molecule: ribosomal RNA, 433 nt
Filed under: uncultured bacterium
Lineage: Bacteria
Description: partial 16S ribosomal RNA
Rfam family: Bacterial small subunit ribosomal RNA
Source: RNAcentral
AGCGAACGCUGGCGGCAGGCUUAACACAUGCGAGUCGAGCGGGCCCUUCGGGGUCAGCGGCCGACGGGUGAGUAACACGUGGGAACGUACCCUUUGGUUCGGAAUAACGCUGGGAAACUAGCGCUAAUACCGGAUACGCCCUUUUGGGGAAAGGCUUGCUGCCGAAGGAUCGGCCCGCGUCUGAUUAGCUAGUUGGUGGGGUAAUGGCCUACCAAGGCGACGAUCAGUAGCUGGUCUGAGAGGAUGAUCAGCCACACUGGGACUGAGACACGGCCCAGACUCCUACGGGAGGCAGCAGUGGGGAAUAUUGGACAAUGGGCGCAAGCCUGAUCCAGCCAUGCCGCGUGAGUGAUGAAGGCCUUAGGGUUGUAAAGCUCUUUUGUCCGGGACGAUAAUGACGGUACCGGAAGAAUAAGCCCCGGCUAACUUCGUG